RNAcentral lists this ribosomal RNA (506 nucleotides) under uncultured bacterium. RNAcentral's name for it is "partial 16S ribosomal RNA". It matches the Rfam family "Bacterial small subunit ribosomal RNA", at positions 29 to 523 of the family's 1533-position model. The record is from RNAcentral.
AGUGAACGCUGGCGGUAGGCCUAACACAUGCAAGUCGAACGGCAGCACAGAGGAGCUUGCUCCUUGGGUGGCGAGUGGCGGACGGGUGAGGAAUACAUCGGAAUCUACUCUGUCGUGAGGGAUAACGUAGGGAAACUUACGCUAAUACCGCAUACGACCUACGGGUGAAAGCAGGGGACCUUCGGGCCUUGCGCGAUUGAAUGAGCCGAUGUCGGAUUAGCUAGUUGGCGGGGUAAAGGCCCACCAAGGCGACGAUCCGUAGCUGGUCUGAGAGGAUGAUCAGCCACACUGGAACUGAGACACGGUCCAGACUCCUACGGGAGGCAGCAGUGGGGAAUAUUGGACAAUGGGCGCAAGCCUGAUCCAGCCAUACCGCGCGGGUGAAGAAGGCCUUCGGGUUGUAAAGCCCUUUUGUUGGGAAAGAAAUCCAGCUGGCCAAUACCCGGUUGGGAUGACGGUACCCAAAGAAUAAGCACCGGCUAACUUCGUGCCAGCAGCCGCGGUAA